GAGAAUUACUGCCCAGAGAUGAUACUCACCUAUAGUGCUAAGUACUAUGACGGAACCACCACUUACGGCGGCUACUCUAACAUCAUGGUGGCCGAUGAGCACUUCAUCGUUCGUAUUCCAGAUACCUUACCUCUUGAUGCUACUGCUCCUCUCCUUUGUGCUGGGAUCACAGUGUAUAGCCCCUUGAAACAUUAUGGACUCGACAAGCCUGGCAUGCACGUAGGCGUAGUUGGCCUGGGCGGACUUGGCCAUAUGGCAGUGAAAUUUGCUAAGGCUAUGGGAGUGAAGGUUACUGUGAUUAGCACCUCACCUAGCAAGAAGCAGGAGGCUGUUGAGCAUCUUGGUGCUGAUUCAUUUUUGGUUAGCCGUGACCAAGAUCAAAUGAAGGUAUCUAUAAUUUGGAACUUUCUUGGAUAACCCAUGAAUCAGGAAAUUUAUAUUAAUUUAUAAUCUUGUUAAAUCUUAUUGAUACAGGCUGCGAUGGGUACAAUGGAUGGUAUAAUUGAUACAGUGUCUGCAAUGCACCCUCUUAUGCCUUUGAUUGGGCUACUGAAAACUAAUGGAAAGUUGGUUUUGGUUGGUGCUCCAGAGAAGCCACUUGAGCUACCAGCCUUUCCUUUGUUGAUGGGUAAUUUUCUGUUUCUUUCUUCUUCAUAUUCAUAAUUCAAAUGAAAAUAAAAACCCUUAACAAUUUCAGCUAAUUACAGGAAGAAAGAUGGUGGGAGGCAGUGCAAUUGGGGGAAUGAAAGAGACACAAGAAAUGAUUGAUUUUGCGGCCAAACACAAUAUAACAGCAGAUAUAGAAGUUAUUCCAAUGAAGUAUGUGAACACAGCCAUGGAACGCAUAUUGAAAGCUGAUGUUAGAUAUCGAUUUGUCAUUGAUAUUGGCAACACAAUCAGCUCUGCCCACUGAAUUUAAUAUAUUUAUAUAUCUGUAUUUUCAAUUUUCAAAGUAAUUGCUGAGUUUGAGGAUUUGUACUCUAUAAUCUCAUAAUCAUGUAUUAUGAGGAGUAACUAAUCUUAAAUAAAUUGGAUUUGAGUGAAUGUCAUUUUUUUUAUUUUAAUUUUAAAAAUAAAUGCGGGAAAUGGGAAAGAUGUUAUUAAAUAAAUGAAUUAUAAAGUGUUUACGGCUCAAUGAAUCAUUUAUUUUAAAUUUUUUUUUAUCAGUCAUUUAUUUCUUACUGUAUAAACUACAUUAAUAAUUUAAUAAUAAAAUAAAUUAAAUUCAAACAUUUGAAAAUACGAAAUAAAUAGAUAAUAGAUGUAUUAAAAUGAAAUAAAAAAUUAUUAAAAAAUUAUUAUAUGAAUUAAUAGUAAAAAAAAGUCUAUAUUUUUUAUUUCAUUGUAAUUAUAUUCUGUAAUUCUUUUUUUCAAUCAAAAUCUAACAUUUUAAAAUUAUUUUAAUUGUAUAUGCUAUUUUAAAAAAUUAAUGGAACCGUCACAUCAACACCAUGUAAUCAAAUUAAUCAUAAAAAAUUUUAUAUUUUAUAUUUAUUAUAAUUUCACCCUAUAAUUAUUUUUUAUCAAUUAAAUUUUAUUUUUUUAAUAUCUGACCAAAUAUAUCCUACCGUUAUUUAUACAGUUGAAAACUUAUAAAAUUAUCAUGUUACUUUUUUUCAUUGUUAAAUAUAUUUAAAAAUUGCUAUUAUUAUUAUUUAAUUUUAUUUUAAUUUUUAUUAAUAAUUUUAUAAUAAUAAUAAUUUAUCUUCAUUUUAUUUUUACUAAAAUCAUUAUCAAUCAAUUUUUUUAAUCUAUUUAAUAUGCUUACUGUUUAGCAUUACUUUUAAAACUAUUAUUAAGAAAAUAAUUUUAUUAAAUAUAUUAAUUAUGAAAUACCAAAAAAUAAUUUAAAAUAAUAUUUAAUAUAAUUCGGUUUUAAAAUAUUAAAAAUAAUAAAAUAAUUUUUUAAGAUUUUUUUAAUUGUUCUUUUAACUCUCAAAUAUAAUACUAAUCUGCCACCUUUUUUUUUAAUUAUUUAGAGUGGAUUUAAAAAAUAAUAAUAAAAUAAAUAAUUAUUAGAGUAUAAUUGGAAUAAAAUUAAAAAUAAAGCUAUUUUUUUUUUCAUUACCUCUUAUUAUAUGCCAUUAUAAAAAAAAAACUUGAAAGCAAUUGAGACUAAGAGGUCAACUCUUGUAUUAAUAAUAUGGAAGAAUUUAAUGGCACAUGUUCACUAUUGGAAUAUUAUGUUAUGUAAUGUUAAGGGAAACACCAGUGGCCCAUUCUAUGCCCUGGCACUAUUGGAAUAUGUAGAGGGUUAUUGGUGACAAGUCCAUCCUUGAUGUGAUUUGUUUGUGAUGUGAUUUGUUUGUGAUGUGAUGCAUUUCAUGAAAGCAUGGAUUUUAAUAAAAUGUUUACUAUUCUGCUCACUGGACUCUAGUAGCUCACCCCUUUCCCUUAACCCCAAGUUUACAGGUUCGGAAUAGACUAGGAAGUCAGCAAGAGUAAAAGUUAUUUGUAUGUAAUAGUUAGUUGUGGAUAUGAAAGAUGAUGUAAUGUAAUGUAAGAUUUUGUAUAGUUUUGUAUUGAGGAUUAGCAUUAUGCUUGACCCUAGUGUUAUGGUUAAUUCCUUUGUUCAUGAUCAUUAUGAAAUGUUUUAAUGUUAACCAAACUUAAUGUAUGAUAUGCUACCCCAUUAGAGAAUUUGAUGAGAGCUCUAGUGUGGGGUUUUAUGUUUAUGAGUAUGUGCAUGCACAGGUUAAGCUUGGUGAAAGAAAAAGUUUAAAGUUUUUUAUGUAUUUGUAUGAUCAUGUAUAGGAUUUAUCAGGUAUGACAGAUUGUAUGUUAGGCUUGCUACUGGUUCCGGCGACCUUAAGUCGAUCUGGAUCCUAGUGCCGGUAGCGGUCCGAUUUCGGGUCGUUGCAGCCCUUAUUCAGUUUUCUACUCCUUUUGAGACCCUGCACAUUUGUACAAAUGUGAGAACCACAUCCGGUAUCUAAUACCCAUGAAGUAGAAAUAGAUAAAUUAAUAUUUAUAACAUAAAUAUCCGAAGUCGUAGUCUCACUACUCUUCUUCUUCUUGCACUCAUCCAAAUAGAGUUUGCAAUUUCUCUUCCAAUGCCCUGGUUCCUUGCAAUGGAAACAGACUCCUUCCUUAUAAACUAUUUCCUUAGGAACUUUUGCCUUGGAUUGCCAUUUAGGCUUGUCUUGUCCCUUAGGCCCAUUACCACCUUUAGACUUGGGCUUCCCCUUAUUUUUCAUGGGCUUACCCUUAUUGACAUUCAAAAUUUGGGUAGGCCUUUUCUUGAUAUUUACCUCAGCUGUCUUUAGCAUCCCAUGCAGCUCAAGAAUGGAUUUCUCCAUAUUGUUCAUGUUAUAGUUCAUGAAAAACUGAGAAAAACUGCUGGGUAAAGAAUGUAGGAUCAGAUCCGUAGAGAGUUAUAAACUCAGAGGAUAACCAAGCCUAGCAAGGUGAUCAAUGUAGCCUUUCAUCUUUAAAAUAUGAGCACUAAUUGAUUCACCUUCAGUCAUUUUGAAAUCAUGCAAUGCAAUGGUGGUUUCAUACCUAUCCUGUCUAGCUUGUUGUUGGAAAGCUUGUUUGAGAUGGACACUCAUCUCAUAAGCCUCAAGGUGCUCCAGAUCCUUCUGAAGUUCUGGGCACAUAAUUGCCAACAUAAGACAUCCAAUGUCAUUAGAAUCAUCCUUAUGCUUGUUCUUAACAGCAUUAGUAGCAUCCGCAGGAGGUGGUUCUGGGAUAGCUUCAUCAAGCACAUAGGACUUUUUCUCUUACUUGAGAACAAUUCUUAAGUUUCUAAACCAAUCAACAAAAUUAGUCCCAUUUUCUUUCAGUUUAUCCUUCUUAAGGAUGGAUCGCAGUGAUAAGGUGGAAUUGUUAUUAGCAGCCAUAAUUAUCUACAAAAUAUGCAAAUAUAAUCAAUUUAGUAAAUUAAUAUUGAGGUGAUAAUAAUCUCCUACUAAAAUACAACCCUCAAAAAGAAUUAUUAGAAUUAUAAUAUUUUAGUGGGUUAAGAUCCAUAUUUCACCUAAUUCUAAGUCAAUUUUGGCAUGACGCUUAGAAUUAAGUUAUUUAGGUAGGUAACUCCUUACCAAUUACAUCUAAUGUAACUCUUAGAUUAUGAGGUGUUGACAUUAUAUGUCAAAUUGCAUGUUAUACCCCAUCUAAUGCCCUAGGCCCAAAACCGUUUUAAUAGCCUAAUUAAGCCCAACCAAAAUUAAAUAAAUGAGUAACUAUUACUCAUCCUAUCUUACUAGGAUAACUUAAGCACUUUACUUUGGCAAAACCUGCAUUUUGGUGAUCUUAGUCUUGAUAGGUAUUUAAUAUAUGGAUGGCAUUAAAACUUAAAAUUUUAGAGUGAGGGUUCAACUUUUAAUUUUAAUUAUUUUGUCUUGCAUAUAUAUAUUAUAGCAUCCUAUAUGCAUACAUAUAUAUAUAGACAAUAAUGCAUAGUAUCUUAUAUUAAUAUAUGACAAAAUAAUAAAAUAUAGUCAUUUAAAUCUGAUUUAAAGACUAAAAGAAAAUAAUUUAAAAUUUAUUUUCUUAUUAAUAUAUUUUUUUAUUUUAUUUCCAGGGGUAGAAUUGUAAUUUGGACAUUAUCUUCUUCUUCAAGAAGCCCUAUUCGCCGCCAUCUACUGCUUCACCAUAUGCCAUCGCAUGCUCAUGUGGACAAGACAGCUGUGUUCUGGCCAUCACGUGUGAUGGUUGACAGUAGCUGGUCCUUUCCAAAUUCUGGGUUCACAAUGACUGUUCAUCGUGAAUCCAUUUCUUUUUAUUUUUUUUAAAUGAUAAAAUUAUUUAUCCACAGUUAUCAUGCCAUUCUAAUAAACAUAUAUCGCAUAUAUAAUAUCAAUCAUGGCAUAAUUAAUUUAAACGAGAAGCACAGGUUGGCUAUGAUACCAUUGUUGGGAAAUCCAGAGAUUAUUGCAACCCAAAUUGCACAGCGAAAAAAUAAAAUCUCGAAUUUCCUUUUCCCAGAAUCUUAGUGCUUCAUUUAAUUCACAAGAAUGAUAUGAGACUAACCUGUUAAUCUCGUCGAGAAUAUACAAUGUUGGACUAAUGGUGCUGCUUUUUCAAACGAACACCCUCUAUGGUAUCCACAUGAACGUCUUCUAUUCUUCUAGAGUACUAGCUCUCUCAAAGAUAGAUAGAUUAUGUGCUCUACAAUCUGCAGCCUUUUAGACUGAGUUUUCUAAAAAAUGUAUCCCUUCUACAAUUCGUAGAAGGGGUAUUUAUAUGUUUCAUUCUUUUGUUUUUCCCUCAACUCCUUACUAUCACAAUCUCACAGAUACUCAAAUAUCUUAUGUGAUAGAGUCCUUUAUCUGUAACAGUUACAGAUAGACUGCAGAUCUUUUAAAUAUUAUUAUCUCAUAAUAAUAAAUUAUUAAUAAUAAUAACACUAUUAUUAUUAAUUAUAUUAAUAAUUAAUAUUAAUAAUAAUAACACUUUAUUAUUUUUAAUUAUAUUAAUGAUUAAUAUUAAUAAUAAUAACACUUUAUUAUUAUUAAUUAUAUUAAUGGGCUUUAGGCUUUUAGCCCAUUAAUAUGACAUAACACAUCAACAACGUUCUUUUGUGUGUGAUCCAAUAGGCUCACAUUAAUUGGCAAUAGGCCCAGUCUAGCAAGAUAUUAUGACUACCCAACUAAUAUGAGGAUCAAUAGUCUGAUAAAGCCUAAUAAAUAUAAUAUGAAUUAAUCCCUUUGUCACACGUUAUCUAGUUUGAAUAUAAGUCAUGGUCAAUGUCAAACUUAUAAUGUUCAAACUUAUGAUUUCUUGAUCUCUAAGUAGACUGAUAAAAAUCAAAUGAUAUUGAUCACACUAUCAAUUCAUUUGAGCACGGCCAUGCAUUUCUCAGUCUCACUUAUCGAGGGGCCCAGAAGAUAUCUCUCUCGGAGAGAGGGACAAAUCCUAUCUUGAUUGUUCAUUAUCCUCUACAUAAUUUCUAUUAUGCUCAAUCAUAACCUUUAUGAUUGUCCGAUUAAAGACAAUGUUUGGUUAUGUCAAAACAUAAUAGUCCUUAUGUUGGAAACUAUGUGUAACAGCCCGCUUACCGGACCGCCACCGGCACUAGGAUCCAGAUCGGCUUAAGGCCGCCGGGACCCGUAGUAAGCCUACUGUAAACUCUGUGUACCUGUUAAAUCCCAUACAUGAUCCUCAUAAGCAUAAAACUGUAAACUGUAAACUCUGUGUACCUGUUAAAUCCCAUACAUGAUCCUCAUAAGCAUAAAACUGUAAACUGUAAACUUUUUUUUUUUUUUUCUUUCGCAUAUCCUAAGCUUGGUCUAAACAUUCUCUGUAUGCACUCUGAGAGUGAUACCUACUGUGGUACCAUACAGGAUAGAACGAUAGAAAACCCCUUUUUCCAGAGCUCUCAUCAUAUGCUCUGGAUGGGUCAUACUAUCAUACACCAAGCUUAGUCUCAUAAUCAUAAUCAUAACUUAACUUAAAACAUAAAACAUAAAACUGAUCAUGUACACAAGGGAUAAACAUACACUAGGGCCAAGCACAAUACUAUACUCUGUACAAGUGUACAUAACAUAAACUUUGUACUGUACAUCAUCAUGUCCACUACUCUAUACUAUUACAUAAACUCUUGCCCUUGCUGUCUCUUUCUCUUUCUCUUUCUUGAGGCCCUGAAAUAUGGGGUUAGGGAGAGGGAUGAGCUACUGAAGCCCAGUGAGCGGAAACAAUAAAAACAUUUAAAAGAUGCUAUCAUGAAAUGCGUCACAGCACAACCAUUUCACAUCAAGGAUUGGACAUGACCUCAGGACUCCCUCUGUCGAUACCCGGCCCCCGUAGGAACUCACACAAGUAUCUCACUAACUGCUCAUGGUGCCCGGCCCUAAAAGGGCUCACACAGGACUUAUCCAAGUCUAAUGUCCCGGCUCCCUUUGAAGGAGCUUACACAAGACAUGAAAUCUUGACAGAUAUAUGGGCUACUGCGGUCGCCUUGGUCCAAUCCACAUAGACAAAUAAUAAUGCAAUGCAACAACGUCGUGUAUACUAAUGCAAUGCAAUACAUCCUUUACUAACAUGGCAUCAAUGAUGCAUGAAGCAUGCUAAAAUAGUCAUUAACUUAAAAACAUAGGUCUGUUCCACUCACCUCUGAUAACUGUUGUAACAGUCUCUGUAACUCUAACUCUGUGGGCCUCCUUGGUUUCUCGGGUCCGCACCUACACAGGUGGACUCAAAUGAGAACCAAACUUAGCUUAACAUAACUCUAAACAUCUCCCCAAAACCCCUCUAAAACAUCAUAAGCAUGCAUGAAAAACUGGGCAAAGGAAGGUUGGACAGGGCACUUUCGGCGGCAGGUUCGGCGACCGAAAGUCCCUCCAGAGACGAAACUCAGGCACUUUCGGCGGCACCUUCGGCGGCCGAAAGUCCUCUCUAGAGACGAAAGUCUCAACCUUCGGCGGCAUGUUCGGCGGCCGAACCCUCCUUCCAGAGCCGAAAGUCCAUUCUUUCGGAGGCAGGUUUAGGCAGCCGAAACAGCCUCCACAAGGGGUUCGGCGGCCGAACCUUCUUUCGGCGGCCGAACCUGAGCUCUCCUCAAAGGCAGAACCCGAGCACAACUCAUGCUCACAGCCUCCAACUAACUCAAAAACACCCAAAACAUGCAUACCAACUAUCCACAACUAGCAUAUAACAUAUCUCAUGCAUAUAGGGGCCUCUAAACUAGCUUAAACCCCACAAGCAACAUAAAACCUCAUCAAAACUCAUAUGAUCAACAUAUGCUCAAACUCAUGGUUACACCCCAAACCAUGCCAUAAACUCUCUAAAACUCCUUAAAACAUACUUGAAACUUAAGGAGAGGUGAGGAUCCAUGCUUACCUCUUGAAGAACGAGAGGAUUGAUGGUCCAAGCUUGGAGAUGGGUGUAAAAACCAAUCAAAGUCUCCAAGUGCUCAACUUUUCUUCCUUUUGCUCAAAACUCUAAAACAAAGUUCAAAACAUGUUAAAACAUGCAAGAUUUGAAGAAAUUUCAUGAAAACAUACCAAGGGGAACAUGAACCUACCUUUGACCCAAAAACAGAGAGUUCAACACCCCUGUUCUCGGUCAAAAUGGCUUUUAUGGGUGGCCAACCGCCUCUCCUUCGGCUGCCGAAACUGCAUGCGAAACCAUGCAACUUUCGGCGGCCGAACUUCCCUUCGGCGGCCGAACUUCCCUUCGGCGGCCGAACCUGGCCUUUGUCCCCUUGCUCUUUUCCUUUCAAAACUCAUUUUUCCUUAAUCCAAAACCAUUCAAAACAUGAGAAAACAUAUAAAACAUUUUAAAAAAAACCUCUCUUAUACCCUUAGGGCAGGCUCCGACAUCCUCGAAUCCCAGAUUCCAACAGAGAAUCCGUCGGAUCGUAGGAAUUCCGAUACCGGGGUCUAGCCGGGUAUUACACUAUGAUAAUCUCAAGUCAAAUGAUUAAGACAUAACUACUUUGAGAUUCACUUAUGACAAUAACCCAUGUAGUGAUCUCAGUACUGGUCCAUCCAAUACUUUAUUCUCUAACAAGUAUCUAUGAUUAUUGAAUUAUAUCAACAAGUAUCUCAUGAUUAUCAAUCAAUAAUCAUACUAGCUAUAUUUUAUUAUUAUCAACAUAAUAAUAAGUAACCAGGGAUGAUAAUCAUUAUUAUGUAACAUGCAAAUAAAUAAUAAUGAUAAAAACCUCUUUUAUUAAUAACCAAAACGACAUACAAAAAGGUCUAAGAUAAUGGCCUAGGGCAUAUACACUAACAAUAAUUAUCUCGAACGUAGAGGAGUUAACACUGAUCGCCGACAGGUUAAUGUAGUUUAGCAGAUAGCCGAAACUGACAAGGAAGUGGAUGACGAUGAUGGAUCUAUUGCUAGUUCUGAAGAUGGAGAGGUCACCUAUGUGAUAAAGAAAAUCUUAUGCUCAACAAAACAGGAGGAUGAGAUGCAAUGGAGGAGGAUUUUCCAAGCAAAGUAUCGAGUAGGAAAGAUAAUUUGCAGGCUAAUUAUAGAUAGCUGCAGUUGUGAGAAUUUGAUAGCUAAGCAAAUGGUGGAAAAAUUACAGUUGCCUAUACAACCGCACCAUUCACCAUACAAAGUCGGAUGGAUUAAGGAAGGUCCGACAAUUGAGGUCAACAGAAUCUGCAAUGUGCCUAUCUCGAUCGGUAAAUCUUAUACUGAAUCUGUUAAUUGUGAUGUUGUGGAUAUGGAUUGCUGUGAAAUUUUGUUAGGUUGCCCUUAGCAAUUCGAUGUUGAUGCUUUGCAUAAGGGGAAGGAGAAUUCAUACAUGUUCACGUGGAAUCAAAAAAAGAUUACUAUUUUGCCUUCCGAUUCUAUGAAACAUUCUAAAGUGGAAGGGAAGAAUGUUGUUGGUGUUUCCACGGGAGUUGACUCGCAGUUGUAGAAACUGGUAAAAAAUAACCUUUUUGAUUAUCAACAAUUUACAACUAUAGAUAGUGGUGAAAGGAUCGAAUCCACAAGGAAUUAAAAACUUACUUAUUUUCCUUAUCAAGACCAAGAAAAUAAACUGAAACAAAACAUAAACUGAAAGAGAUAAACUGAAACGAGAUAAACGAAAUAAACUGAAACGAGAUAAACUGAAACGAGAUAAACUGAAAGCAAAAAUAACUGAAAGAGAAAUAAAUUGAAACGAGAUAAAACUGAAAGCAAAAAUAACUGAAACGAGAUAAAACUGAAAACAAAAAUAACUGAAACGAGAUAAAACUGAAAACAAAAAUAACUGAAACGAGAUAAAACUGAAAGUAAAAUAGGGGGUUUGAGAUUGAUUUAAUUAAACAACUACUGAAAGCAAUAAAAUAAGUGAAUAAUAAAAUAAAAGAGAAAUAAAUAAUGAGAAAGCUCUACUUGAAGAAUUGGAUCCACUUCAGUUGUUGGGAUUGAUCAUUGACACUUAGUUUCUUUUGAUUGAUUCAACAGAUUAGUUAUGGAGAUGGAAGACGCUUCUCACCACCAUGUCUCUCCUUAUGAUUAAACCAAUUAGGGAACGUCCUCUAAUUAAUUACUAAUUAACAAAUUGCCAAGGAACGUCCUUAGUCCUUAGGCAUCAAAACAAUUGUUAAUUGCAUGAAGAGAUAGAGAGAGCCAAUCCUAACUACUCAAACGCAUGAGAUGUUGCUAGAUCAUACAAUUUCCUUAGUUUUUACACCAAGUGUUCUUAUGUUUGAACAAUCCAAGCAAUUACGGACUCAAAAUUAUCCAAACUAAUAAUAUAUUACCUUGCAAUCAAGAAUCAAUUGGCCGUAUUGAUCAAAAUAACAAAGCAAUAAUAGAAUCAAGUAUGAAAUUGCAUGAAUAUUGAAUAACCAAAAGAUAAACAAUGUUUGAUCAAGUCUCCCAAUCCAUAAAACAACUAAAGUAUCACCUAAUCUUCAACUAGAAUAAAAGGUUUCAACCUCUUAUGGCUGAAACAAAAACCAAAAAUAAAAGAAAAGAUGAAAGGUAGAAGAAGAGAUGUGAAUCCCGUAGGUGUCUCCCAAGGGGAGUGUAAAGGGCAUGGGGAGGCUCCUUAUGUGUCUUUUUAUAGUUAAAAGUGUUGCCCUAGGUCUCCCUUGCUUCCUAAUUAGUGAAGAGGCUGCCCAAAGUGCUGAAAAGGAAAGAAUUGCGUUGCUAAUUAUUUAGAAGGAAAGUGGCGCGCGACAAGGCUUCAAAAGAGGAAGGAGGCGUGCCUUGUGCUUCGGAUGGUAAGAGGCGUGAGGCAAGGGUUUCAGAAGAGGAAGAUAUGCUGUUCAAGUUGCUGCCCACGUGCUGUUCAAGUUGCUGCCCACGUGCUGCCCAAGUGCUGCCCAUAUCUUGCACAUUAAUAAGAUGGAGCCUCUCUUUUGAAUUUUGAAUUUUGAAUGUGCAAGACUUGGGGGGCAAGUAUGACUUCUUUGGCUUCUUUGAUAAGCUGAAUUUGAAUUUCAAAAUCUGAAUGUGCAUCUUGAAGAUUUGGCUUCUCAAAUAAGGAAAAGGAUUCUUGAAGAUCUUGAAUUUCAAACUGCUCUGCAGACUGCACUUUCCUUAUUUAGCACUUUCCUUAUUUGGCACUUUCCUUGAUGAGCUGAAUCUUGAAUUUGGAUUUUGAAUUCUCUGAAGGAUUUGAAAUUAGAAUUUCAAAUUACUUUCCUUAUUUGGCACUUUCCUUAUUUGAAAACUUUCCUUUUUGCCACUUUCCAUAUUUGGCACUUUUUGGCAGUUUUAAGAGCAUUUUCUCCAGAUUGUCUCUUUGCACCUAAUAUCUGCAAAACAUGAUUAAAACCACAAAAUUAGGCAGAAAAAAUGCAAAUAAACAUCAAGAACAUCAUGAUAAAAUGGGCUAAAUUAUGCUCUAUCAAAUACCCCCACACCUAACUUUUUGCUUGUUCUCAAGCAAACAAACAUUUUCAAAUAAGCCUUCUUUGCUCUAGAUCCUUAUUACCACUUAAGCUCUUACUCUAGACCCUUAUUUUGAAUCAUUGCAGUGAAGAAUACAUGCAUGAAGAUUACUCACCUUCUUUCCUUGUUUCCCUUUGCUUACCAUGGCUAGGAUUUAUUUUCCUCAAGAGAGACCAUACAUGCACAUGUUUGUUUUGUUAAGACUUUUUCUAGCUUUCAGAGUGACUUGCCCUUACCUUGAAGUACUUUAUUCAGGCUUUAAAUUUUUUUUUUUUGCACUUUAUCCUUGCUUGAAAAAGUCACCAACCUUUUGACGUGAAGGUGAUAUAUUUGUGAUACCCACCCCCAGUUACUCAGUUUGUCACCUGUCCAAGUGGCUACUAGCUCUGUUCAUAGUCUUUUGACCAUUGGAACAGUUUUCAAUUUGUGCUUUUGAGGUCUUUGCCUUUGCUGAAUUUUCUUUCUCUCAAUGAUUUGGGCAAAUCAACACCAAUUGCUAAAACAAGUCAUGUUAAGUUCAUUCACACAAUUUCAAUUUAUUCUCUCUAAUGAGGGUCAUCAGUAUACUUUUCACCAUGGCAAGUUCUAAGAUUCAAUUCAAAAGGCAAUUCUCAAACAUGAAUAUAACUCACUGCAAUUUAUUCAACAUAAGUUUAAAGAGUCAUCACAUCAAUGGGGUCAUGGAAAGAAAGACUCAUCCAACAUAGCUCAUAAGUUUGAGUAAAGCAAAUCAGAACACAAACGAGAAGCUGUGGAAAAAUGAAAAAAAUGAAAAAAAUCACACUCAAAAUGAAAACAGAAAUUCAAACUGAAAAUUAAAGCAAAAAUUAAAAAUUAAGAAAUAUGCACCCCCACACCUAAAUCAUGCAUUGUCCUCAAUGUAUAGGAAUUAUUAAAAUGCAAAAGAAACUGAGUACUCCCCUGGGUGUGGUGUGCAUGGUGCGAUCCACUUGAUCAAGGCUCAAGUAAUUGGGGAAGGGAAAAGAGUCCCAACUGAAUUAAGUAGAAAGUGUAGCACGCCCUUUGAUUUAGUCAUAGCCCAUCUUAUUUUUUCCAUGUACUCAUGAAGUAACAUGAUUAGCUUCUCCUCUUUCAGGUGAGGUGUGCCUCUAGCCCUUAUGUUUGCAUUUUUUAGAUGAUUGGGACGCACUUUGAACUCCAAUUCAUGUUUCUCUAUGGCUAACUGCAAUUUAGUACUGAAUUUAGGCAAAACAAACUCUACCUUAUCCAGAGGUUUGGGAAGGCAUUGAUCCGCAUGGUCCUUUGGUUUAGGUGCUUGGAAUACCAUUUGUUCCUUAUGAGCAUGGGUUGUUUGCAUUGGAAGGCUGAAAGGAGUUUCAGUUUGCUCCUUCUGCGCAAGGCCUGACUGAAAGGGAGGACUGGAGGAGCUUGACUGCGUUGGAAGCUGAAAGGAUGCGAUGGAGGUGGCUUCAGGUUGCGCAAGGCUCAUUUGCGAAUUCUCCUGAAGAGGUGCGACAGAGCUCUCUUCAGUAUGUGCUUGGCUGCAGUUCACCUGUUGGAUGCAACAGUCAGUUUCUUUCAAUUCUGGCUCUUUCUGGUUCUUUUCCCUGCAAAAAUCAUUGUUUAGCAUAUCAUCUUGAUUUACAUAAAAAUUUUCUUGGCUCAUACAAUCAAUGAUAUCUAAACUUUCAGCAAGUUUUGUUUGAUUAGUCUGUUUAGGCAAACAAUUUUCUGGUUGUUUUUCUUCAGCAGCUUGCUCUUGUACUUGUGAGCUUUCAUCAUCUGUCUUAUCAUCUUGAAACUUUUCCUCUCUUCUUAACACGCGUGCACUCAUUGAGGUGGCCAAUUGUCCUAUCUGCUGUUGGAGGCCUUGCAUAGAACUUGCCAUUGUCUCCAUCAUCUUCUCAAGGUGCUGGUAGGAACUUGGAGGUUCUGGUUGGGCUUGAUAUCCUUGAUAAUCCUGGUAGUUAUUAGCCUCUGCAUAACUGAAGUUUGGAUAGUCUCCCUAACCUGGAUUAUAUGUAUUAUAGUAGGGAUCAUGUCUUGGUUGUUCGUGGAAUCCUCCAUAUGCAUGAACUGGUUGGUCAUACUGAUAAAGUGUGGGACAGUGAUCAGUUGGGUGUCCCAAAUAUCCACAGAUCCUACAUGGCCUUGGUGGCUAGGAUGCUUGAACCUGUUGAACUAGUCUUAUGGCAAAAUCUUUCAUAAAAAAUGUCAGAAAAGAAAGAUCAGAUCUACUUACCUCAUCCAUGAUUCAGAUCUGCGAUGGUAACUGUGCCUUUGGUGAGAUGAUGGGCGAUCUGAAUGGUGAAGAGAAGGAGAGAUGUGCGAUGGAGAUGUUUCAGAAGAGUUUUUUUUUUCUUUUUGGUCCUGAAAGAAAAAAAAACAAAUAAGUUAAAUCAACUCCCCGGCAACGGCGCCAAUUUUUAACUCGCGUUUGUCGAAGCCGGUCAAAAAUAACCUUUCUGGUUAUCAACAAUUUACAACUAUAGAUAGUGGUGAAAGGAUCGAAUCCACAGGGAAUUGAAAACUUACCUAUUUUCCUUAUCAAGACCAAGAAAAUAAACUGAAACAAAACAUAAACUGAAAGAGAUAAACUGAAACGAGAUAAACGAAAUAAACUGAAACGAGAUAAACUGAAAGCAAAAAUAACUGAAAGAGAAAUAAAUUGAAACGAGAUAAAACUAAAAGCAAAAAUAACUAAAACGAGAUAAAACUGAAAGUAAAAUAGGGGGUUUGAGAUUGAUUUAAUUAAACAACUACUGAAAGCAAUAAAAUAAGCGAAUAAUAAAAUAAAAGAGAAAUAAAUAAUGAGAAAGCUCUAGUUGAAGAAUUGGAUCCACUUCAGUUGUUGGGAUUGAUCAUUGACACUUAGUUUCUUUUGAUUGAUUCAACAUAUUAGUUAUGGAGAUGGAAGACGCUUCUCACCACCAUGUCUCUCCUUAUGAUUAAACCAAUUAGGGAACGUCCUCUAAUUAAUUACUAAUUAACAAAUUGCCAAGGAACGUCCUUAGUCCUUAGGCAUCAAAACAAUUGUUAAUUGCGUGAAGAGAUAGAGAGAGCCAAUCCUAACUACUCAAACGCAUGAGAUGUUGCUAGAUCAUACAAUUUCCUUAGUUUUUACACCAAGUGUUCUUAUGUUUGAACAAUCCAAGCAAUUACGGACUCAAAAUUAUCCAAACUAACAAUAUAUUACCUUGCAAUCAAGAAUCAAUUGGCCGCAUUGAUCAAAAUAACAAAGCAAUAAUAGAAUCAAGUAUGAAAUUGCAUGAAUAUUGAAUAACCAAAAGAUAAACAAUGUUUGAUCAAGUCUCCCAAUCCAUAAAACAACUAAAGUAUCACCUAAUCUUCAACUAGAAUAAAAGGUUUCAGCCUCUCAUGGCUGAAACAAAAACCAAAAAUAAAAGAAAAGAUGAAAGGUAGAAGAAGAGAUGUGAAUCCCGUAGGUGUCUCCCAAAGGGAGUGUAAAGGGCAUGGGGAGGCUCCUUAUGUAUCUUUUUAUAGUUGAAAGUGUUGCCCUAGGUCUCCCUUGCUUCCUAAUUAGUGAAGAGGCUGCCCAAAGUGCUGAAAAGGAAAGAAUCGCAUUGCUAAUUAUUCAGAAGGAAAGUGGUGCGCGGAUUGCACUGCAGAAGGAAAGUGGCACGCGGCAAGGCUUCAGAAGAGGAAGGAGGCGUGCCUUGUGCUUCAGAUGGUAAGAGGCGUGAGGCAAGGGUUUCAGAAGAGGAAGAUAUGCUGUCCAAGUUGCUGCCCAAGUGCUGCCCAUAUCUUGCACAUUAAUGAGGUGGAGCUUCUCUUUUGAAUUUUGAAUUUUGAAUGUGCAAGACUUGAGGGGCAAGUCUGACUUCUUUGGCUUCUUUGACAAGCUGAAUUUGAAUUUCAAAAUCUAAAUGUGCAUCUUGAAGAUUUGGCUUCUCAAAUAAGGAAAAGGAUUCUUGAAGAUCUUGAAUUUCAAACUGCUCUGCAGACUGCACUUUCCUUAUUUAGCACUUUCCUUAUUUGGCACUUUCCUUGAUGAGCUGAAUUUUGAAUUUGGAUUUUGAAUUUUUUGAAGGAUUUGAAAUUAGAAUUUCAAAUUACUUUCCUUAUUUGGCACUUUCCUUAUUUGAAAACUUUCCUUUUUUGGCACUUUCCAUAUUUGGCACUUUUUGGCAGUUUUAAGAGCAUUUUCUCCAGAUUGUCUCUUUGCACCUAAUAUCUACAAAACAUGAUUAAAACCACAAAAUUAGGCAGAAAAGAUGCAAAUAAACAUCAAGAACAUCAUGAUAAAAUGGGCUAAAUUAUGCUCUAUCGGGAGUGCAUAGGCUAUCAGGCGCAGUUGAGAAAUCUGAAGGCACACUGGCUUUAUUGGUAAGAGAAAAAGGUACAAUGGAGGAUGUAUCAUCUUUACCACCACCCGUCAAAGAGCUGUUGAAAGAGUUUCCUAAGAUAGUGGAGGAAUCAUCCAAGCUUCCACCUCUAUGGGAUAUCCAACAUCAGAUUGAUCUCAUUCCUGAAUCAAAAUUACUGAAUCUGCCUCAUUACAAGAUGAGUCCAAAGGAGAGUGAAAUCCUCUAAGAACAGGUUGAAAAAUUACUGAAGAAGGAACAUAUUCAGAAGAGCAUUAGCCCUUGCGGAGUACCUGCCCUAUUAGUUUCAAAGAAAGAUGGGACUUGGAGAAUGUGCGUGGAUAGCAGGGCCAUCAACAAAAUUACAGUUCAGUAUCGAUUUCCUAUUCCAUGAUUGGAUGAGAUGCUGGAUCAGCUAUCCGAGUCUAAAGUCUUUUCUAAAAUCAACCUUAAAAGUGGCUAUUACCAAGUUUGGAUCAAGGAAGGAGAUGAAUGGAAGACUGCCUUCAAGACUAAGGAAGGCUUGUAUGAGUGGCUGGUUAUGCCCUUUGGUUUGACGAAUGCACCUAACACUUUUAUGCACUCAUGAAUCAGGUUUUGCGUCCUUUCUUAUGCAAAUUUAUGGUUGUUUAUUUUGAUGACAUCUUGAUCUUUAGUCGCAGCAAAGAAUAACAUUUACAACAUCUCCGUCAAGUCAUGACAAUCUUGCAAGAAAGUGAGUUGUUAUUAAUCUUAAGAAGUGCAUUUAUAUGACGGAGCGUGUUCUGUUCCUGGGGUUCGUUGUUAGUGCAAAAGGGAUACAUGUUGAUGAGAAGAAAGUAGAAGCAAUAUGGAAUUGGCCCAUCCCCAAAACUAUUUCUGAAGUUCGCAGCUUUCAUGCCCUUGCUACUUUCUAUCGACUGUUUAUCAUAAAUUUCAGCAGCAUCAUUGCCCCAAUCAUAGAUUGCUUGAAGAAAGAGAGAGUACAGAAAUUUGCAUGGACUGAAGCUGCCAACAAGAGCUUUGAAGAGAUUAAAUAUAAGCUUACUUAUGCCCCUAUUCUUGCUCUACCCGAUUUUGAAAAACUGUUUGAGGUUGAAUGUGAUGCUUUUGGAGUUGGGAUUGGUGGAAUGUUGUCACAGUCUAAAAGGCCUAUUGCCUUCUUUAGUGAGAAACUGAAUGAAACUAGAAAGAAAUUGUCUACUUAUGAGUAGGAGCUAUAUGCAGUAUUCUAGGCUUUUAAAACUUGGGAGUAGUAUCUGAUGGGGCGAGAAUUUAUUAUUCACACAGAUCAUCAAUCUUUGAUCCAUUUUAAAACUAAAAAACAUGUGAAUAAGAUGUAUGCUUGAUGGGCAGCUUACUUUGGAGCCUUCCAUUAUGUCAUCAAACAUAAGGCUGGCCAUAGUAAUAAGGUGGCAGAUGCUUUGAGUAGGAGGGCUGCUUUGUUGAUUACAGUUAAUCAGGAGGUUGUAGGUUUUGAAUUUCUGAAGGAUUUGUAUACUACAGAUGAUGACUUUGCUGAUAUAUGGGCUAGAGUCCAGACUCACCAGCUUGCUAAUGGGUUCUUGGUACAUGAUGGCUUUUUUUUUAAGGAGAAUAAGUUAUGCAUCUCUUGAUCUUCUUUGCAGGAAAAGCUGAUUCGAGAGGUCCAUGGAGGAGGUUUGAGUGGUCAUUUGGGGCGUGACAAGACUAGUGUUGGGUUGGAGGAGCGUUUUUAGUAGCCAUAAUUAAAAAGGGAUACAGGUUGGAUUGUAAUACCCGGCUAGACUCCGGUAUCGGAAUUCCUACCGUGCGGUGGAAUCUCGGAUGUCGGAGCUCUCCAGAAGGGUAAUAUAUGUUUUUCUAAAAUGUUUUCAUGUGUUUUAAGGUUUUAAGUAAGAAAGAAAAUGAGUUUUUGAAAGAAAAAUACCAUGGAAGGAAAUCCAGGUUCGGCCGCCGAACCUCAUGUUCGGCCGUCGAACAUGGUGGAGUUUAGGGAGCACCUUUGGCCUCCGAAGGUGGUCUGGCUAGCCACCUAUAAAAGGCUCCAUGUCCGGAAAUGGGAGAGUUUUCUUCUCCAUUUUCGGGCAAAGGUGAGUCCAUGCCCUUCCAUGGUUAGUUUAGAUGUUUUUCUUCAAUCCCUUCAAUUUUUAAUUAGUUUUAACUUGGUUUUGAAGAUUUUUGAGCGAAGAUCAAGUUUUUGAGCUUGGAGACCCAAGGAGCUUGAUUUCUCCCAUCUCCAAGUUUGGAUCGCCUCUUCUCUCGGUUUUCAAGAGGUAAGUAGAGAUCCUACCCUUCUUUUAUGUUUUAAAUAAGUUUUGAGGGGUUUUAAGGGAAUGUGAUGCUUGGUUUGACUAUAUGUUUUAUGUUAGGGUUUAUGUUAGUUUUAUGGGUAAUGUAUGUUAUAUAUUUGUUGGGGUUUAGGCUAGUUUGAGACCCCUAUAUGCUUAUGAAUGUGUGUAUGCAUGUUUUGGAAGUGUUGGAUGUGAGUGUGAGAGGUUUUGGAGGCAGAUUGCAUGAGGCGGAAUCGGGUUCUGCCUUUCUGAGGAACCCAGGUUUGGCCGCCGAAGGUGGUUUCGGCUGCCGAACCCGCCUGUGGAAGCAAUCUUUGACCGCCUAAACUUGCCCCCGAAAAUGGACUUUCGGCUCUGGAAGGGACUUUUGGCCGCUGAAAGUGCAUGACUUUCGUCUCUGGAGGAGACUUUUGGCCGCCGAACCUACCCCCGAAAGUGCCUGACUUUCGGAUCUGUGGGGCAUUCGGCCGCCAAAUCUGCCGCCAAAGGUGCCCUGUCCAGCCUUCCUUUGCUUGUUUUGCAUGCAUGUUCUGUGAUGUGUUAGGGGGUUUUUGGGGAGUUGUUUAGAGUAAUGUUUAUGUAUGUUUGGUCUCUCAUUUGAGUCCACCUGUGUAGGUUCGGACCCGAGGAAUCGAGGACCCCAGCAGUGAGAUAGCUGCUUCAGAGUCUGUUCAGAGUCAGCCUGAGGUGAGUAGAAUGGAUCUUUAUUGCAAAGUAAAUAAAUUUUGAGCAUGUUCAUGCAUCAAGAAUGCCAUGAUAUAUACUAGGUUGUAUGCAUUAGAAUUCACGAAUAUGUUGCAUUGCAUAUUAUGAUGUUGAUGUGGGUGGACGUUGGAUGAUCCAUUAGUCCUCGAUAUGAUAUGAGAUGGUAUGGUACGAAAGUCCAAGUCGAGGCCCAUGCUACACCCCUGGCAUAAUGUUAAGAGAAAGUCCAGGUCGAGGCCCAUUCUACGCCCCUAGCAUAUUGGAAUGUUAUGUUAUGCUAUGUUAAGGGAAAGACCAGUGGCCCAUUCUACACCCUGGCACUAUUGGAAUGUAUAGAGGGCUAUUGGUGACAAGUCCAUCCUUGAUGUGAUUUGUUUGUGAUGUGAUGCAUUUCAUUAAAGCAUGGAUUUUAAUAAAAUGUUUACUAUUCUGCUCACUGGGCUCUAGUAGCUCACCCCUUUCCCUUAACCCCCAGGUUUGCAAGUUCGGGAUAGACCAGGAAGUCAGCAAGAGUAAAAGUUAUUUGUAUGUAAUAGUUAGUUGUGGACAUGAAAGAUGAUGUAAUGUAAUGUAAGAUUUUGUACAGUUUUGUAUUAAGGAUUAGCAUUGUGCUUGACCCUAGUGUUUAUGGUUAAUCCCUUUGUUCGUGAUCAUUAUGAAAUGUUUUAAUGUUAACCAAGCUUAAUUUAUGAUAUGUUGCCCCACUAGAGCAUUUGAUGAGGGCUCUAGUGUGGGGUUUUAUGUUUAUGGUUAUGUACAUGCACAUGUUAAGCUUGGUAAAAUGGAAAAAGUUUAUAGUUUUUAUGUUUAUGUAUGAUCAUGUAUGGGAUUUAUCAGGUAUGAUAGGUUGUAUGUUAGGCUUGCUACGGGUCCUGACAACCUUAAGUCGAUCUGGAUCCUAGCGCCGGUAGCGGUCCGUUUUCGGGUCGUUACAGAUUGGUAUCAGAGCUCUAGGUUCAUAUGGUCGGAUCUAGAGAGUGUCGGGCUUAUAGAUGUUAUAGAAGGGCAAGCACAAUAGGAAAAUCAUGUCCACUAGGAUAGGAUAUGGAGUCCUGUCCUGUAUGAUGAUGUGAAAUGCCGUGAUUAUAUGCAUGUGCAUUAAUGAUAUGUUAUGUAUGUGAUGCGGGUUCAUGUGUUUCCACUUGAACCAUAUGAUGCUAAUGUUUUAUGUGUUGUGUGUUGUUUUUCAGAAACAGGAUGAGAGGAACUCGUCGAUCUGCACGAUUGACUGGAGUCCCACCAGAAGGUGAGGGCAUGGAUGCCCGACCCCCUACAUUACCUAGGGCAAUGUCCUGCAGGUCUAGUAGAGAGAGAGUGUCAAGGGACCCUAGAAGGUCUUUUAAUACAAGCAGAAGGGGAGCAGUUCAGGGAGGAGUGUCAGCUGAGGGGGAUGAUAUGGAUGUUGACCAGAGAAGGGAUGGAAGCUUAGGUGUGAGCAUGUCUGAAGAGGGCAUGGGAGAAUCUCAAAGAGGCACUCAGGUCUCGGGGUUUGUUCAACCACCCCAAUAUCCACCCUUUCCACAGGGCCCCGGGUAUUCGAUGGGAGGUACAUCGAAUUACCCCAGCUUUAACCCUUAUCCCUCUUACAUGCCAUAUCCACCUUUCUACCCACCACACCCCCAGUACCCUAUGUAUCCACCCCCAUCCUUUUAUCCAAGUACAGCAAACCCUAACCCAGGGGAUGUUGCACCUCCUCCACCACCAGCAGACCCUAUAGCCCCCGUGACCCAAAUACCCAAACCUAGCUCAUCUGGGGGGAGCAAAGUCAAGAUGACUGAUUACUUGAAGUUGGAUGCUCCCAAGUAUGAAAUAGGUGAUGAUCCGUUUGAGUAUCUCAGGACGGUCAAAAUGAUUACAGAUGAGUUAGGGGCAGAUGACAGUAGAGCCAUUCAGAUGGCUGGGUUCACUCUGAAAUGCAAGAAGGCCCAUGAGUGGUUUAAAAACUAUGUGAACCCGAGGUUGGAUAGUCUAUUGAUAGAGCACAUUUUAGUCUACUUUCUCAUUAUGUUCUUGAUGUUUAUUUACAUCUUUUCUGCCUAAUUUUGUGGUUUUAAUCAUGUUUUACAGAUAUUAGGUGCUAAGGAACAUUUUGGAGAAAAUGCUCUUAAAACUGCCAAAAAGUGCCAAAUAUGGAAAGUGCCAAAGAAGGAAAGCAUUUUGAAAUUCAAAUCUCCAAGAUUCAUAUUCAAAUUUUGAAUUUCAAGAUCCAGCUUAUUAAGGAAGCCAAAUCCCAAGAUCACAUGUUUCCCCUUUCAUGACCAUGCAUAUUCAAAAUUCAAAUUUGCAAAGGAGGCUCCACCUUCCUUAUUAGUGCAUGGGCGGCAAGGAGCAUGUGAAGGCAAGCCUUGGGCAGCAACUUGAAGACACUUGGGCAGUAAACAAAGACCAAGGAGUCCACUCCUUGCAAUUGAAGACAAGCCCCACGUUUUUCCCUUCAUACAUGUGCAUAGAUGGCACACCUUGGACCAAGGACAUUUUGGGCAGCCUCUAAAAGAUGCAUGGACAGCCAAGAAACCCUAAGCAGCCUCUCAAGACAUAUUUAAAGGCCUCAAGAAGACCAAAAGAGGCAGAUUGGACAACAACUCCAUCUCCCCCAUUCGGCCAAGCAAGGACCGGCGCUCCACCUCUCCACUUCUUCCAAUCGGUUCCCCUUUUCCUCUUCUCUUCUUGUUUUUGAUUUUUGUUUCAGCCAUGAGUGGCUGAAACCUUUUAUUCUAGUUGAGGAUUGGUUGAAACUAAGGUUGUUUAAUGGAUUGUGAGAUCUGAUCAUAAACUAUUGUCUUUGAUUUUGUUCAAUAUUCAUGCAAUUGAUGCUUUAAUUCCAUGAUUGCUUUGUUGUUUUGAUUAAAUUGGCCACUUGAUUCUUGAUUGCAAGGUAAUUGAUUGUUAGUUGGGAUUAUUUUUAGUCCAUAAUUGCUGGAAAUAUUCUGACCUAAGAACACUUAGUGUAAAAACCAAGGAAUUGCAUGAUCUAGCAUCAUCUUCAUGCGUUUGGAGUAGCUAGGAUUGGAUCUCUCUAUUUCUUCAUGCAAUUGACAAUUGUUUUGAUGCCUAUAGCCCAAUGAUGUUCCUUGGCAAUUUGUUGAUUAGUAAUUGAUUAGAGGACGUUCCCUAAUUGAUUUAUUCAUAAGGAGAGACAUGGCGGUGAGAAGCGUUUUCCACCCCCAUAACUAAUCUAUUGAAUCAAUCAAGAUAAACUAAGUUUCAAUGAUCAAUCUAAACAACCAAGGUGGAUCCAUAUCUUCAACUAGAAUUUUCUCAUAUUGAAUUCUCUUUUAUUUUAAUUAGUUGCUGGUUUGAUUGCUUUCAGUAGUGAUUUAGUUGCUUUCAGUAGUUUGUUAAUCAAAACAAUCUCAAAACCCCCCUUUUUACUUUUAUUGCACUUUAGUUCUAUUCCGCUUUCAGUUACUUGCUUUCAAUUGCACUUUCAGUUGAUUCUCUUGGUCUUGUUGAGAAAAAUAGAUUGGUAAUCAAUUCUCUGUGGAUUCGAUCCUUUCACCACUAUCUGCAGUUGUAAAUUGUUAAUAACCAGAAAGGUUAUUUUUGACCGGCUUCGACAACCGCGAGUCAUCUAUCCUGGAAAGAGUUUGCAAAUGAGUUUGCAGGAUGGGCUUUCCCUGAUAGCUCAAGAGAGUUGAAGAUCAUUGAGUUUGAACAGUUGAGACAGACAGAACAGAUGAGUGUAGAUGAGUUUACAGAUAAGUUCUUGGAGCUGUUGCCAUAUGUGGGGCAAGCUUAUGAUACAGAUCAGAAGAAGGCAAAGAGGUAUACUAUGAGACUUCACUCUAAGUAUUCCUCCCUGAUUCUUGCAGCAGAGAGGGAGAGCUUCCACACUAUUGUGGAUGCAGCACAAAGAUGGAGGCUAGUGCCAUCAUUCAAGGAACAGUUAAGCAAUCUGUGGCACAAUCUUCGGGUUCCAAGACCCCAGGCAGGGGAAAGUUAGAUCCCUCUUCUCUGAGUGUAGCAACUUCAGGUAGUAAGAAGUGGGGUAAAGCUAAGGUCAAAAAGAACAAGUUCUGGAAUCGAUUGAAAUCAGGUCUGGGUUUAGGUGAUGGCUCGAGCUCAGGUCCAGAUGGUGCAGAAUGUUUGAGGUGUGGUAAACUACACAGGGGAGCGUGUCGGUUUGGGACUACAGCCUGCUUUAGAUGUGGACAGGAGGGACACAUGGCACGGGAGUGUCCUAGAGCACCUUUCAUGGCACAGUCCCAGCAGACAGCUUCUGGUAGUGUGGCUCAGCCAGUAGCUCCAGCUGCGACACAGGGCAGUGGCAGAGGCAGAGGGAGAGGGGCAGCCUCUUCUUCAGCAGGUUCCCGAGGUGAAGGUCCAUCAGCUCCAGCACGGAUCUUCACUAUGACACAGCAGGAGGCUAAUGCAUCAAACACCGUGGUGUCAGGUAAUCUCAUCAUUGGUUGUUCAAAUGUGUAUGCCUUAAUGGACCCUGGUGCAUCUCAUUCUUUUGUUGCUCUGAGAGCUGUAGAGAGGAUGGGUUUGAUGGUCUCUGGGUUAGAGUGUCCCCUUUGGGUCAAUGGACCCAAGUGUGACCCAUCAGUGGCAGAGUCAGUCUGCCAGUUUAGUCCAGUUUUUGUUGAGGGAAGAUGCCUUCCAGCCGACCUUGUGGUUCCAGAUUUGACGGAUUUUGAUGUCAUUCUAGGGAUGGAUUGGCUAUCUACUCAUGGUGCUACCUUGGACUGCAGAGACAAGGUAGUCAGGUUCAGAGGUCAGGAUGGGUCAGAGGUUGUAUUCAGGGGAGACAGGAGGGGUACACCUAGAGGUUUGAUAUCAGCCCUACAGGCUCGUAGGUUGCUCAGAAGGGGUUGUCAGGGGUGUAAUACCCAGCUAGAGUCCGGCAUCGGAAUUCCUACUGUCCAAUGGAAUCUCGGAUGACGGAACCCUUUAGAAGGGUAAUAGCCAUGUUUUCUAAAGUGUUUUGUAAGUGUUUUAAUGUUGUAAGUGUAAAAGAAAUAAGUUUGUUUGAAAGAAAAGCACCAAGGCAGAAAAGCCAGGUUCGGCCGCCGAAGGUAAUGUUCGGCCACCGAACAUGCAUGGCUUUCGGCUUCACUUUUGGCCGCCGAAGGUGGUCUGGCCAGCCACCUAUAAAGGGCCAUAGGUCGGUGAAUGGAUAGGAUUUUUCUUCCUUUCCACUGACAGAGGUGAGACCAUGAUCUUCCUUGGGUGAUCUUUGAAUUUUCUUCAAUCUUUCAAAGUUUUGAUAAGUUUUUAUGAUGUUUUGAAGCUUUUGAGCAAAAGACCAAGGUUUUGAAGCUUGGAGAGUUUGAGAGCAAGUUUCUCCAUACCUCCACGUUAGGAUCGCCUAACCUCACGAUCUUUAAGAGGUAAGUGUUGAUCCCUAGCUUCUUUCAUGUUUUGAGCAAGUUUUAUAAAGGUUUUAUGGGUAGAGAUGCAUGUAUAGGUUAAGAAGGGUUGUGUGAGCUUUUGGUGUAUAUGCAUGCUAUGUGUUAUGUUGUGAUGUUUUGUUGGGGUUUUAAGUUAGUUUUUGACCCCUUUGUGCAUGUACUUGAGUAUAUGCUUGUUUUUGAGAUGUUGGUUGCAUGUUUGAGGAAGUUGGUGAGGGUUUGUGCAUGAAGCAGAGCAGGGUUCUGCCUCACUGGCGAACCCAGAUUCGGCCGCCGAAGGAAGGUUUGGCCGCCGAACGUGCUAAGGAGGUGUUUUCGGCUGCCUAAACCAGCCCCCGAAAGUCUGGACUUUCGGCUCUGGAGGAGGGGUUCGGCCGCCGAAGGUUUGGGACUUUCGGCUCUGGAAUGCCUUUCAGCCCCCGAACCUUGCCCCCGAAAGGGUUCGGCUGCCGAAAGUUAAGUUCGGCUGCCGAAGGUGGUUGAGUUUCGACUCUGGAAGGGACUUUCGGCCGCCGAACCUGCCGCCGAAAGUGCCCUGUUCAGCCUUCCUUUGCAUGUUUUUCUUGAAUGUUUUAGGAUGCUUUGGGGAAGUCUUGGGGAGUUUUAUAGAGAUGUUCUUGAGUUAGUUUGGUCCCUCAUUUGAGUCCAUCUGUGUAGGAAUGGACCAGGGGAACCAAAGAGUUCAGCAGUGAUAGCUGCUUCAGAGUUCUCAGAGUUAGUACAGAGUCAGCAAGAGGUGAGUGGAACUAACUUAUGCUUUUAAACUAAAUGAAAGUUUUAGCAUGAUUCAUGCAUCAUAAAUGCCAUGUGAAUGCUAGGUUGUAUCGCAUUAGAAAUCACGAAUAUGUUGCAUUCCAUUCUAUGUUGUUGGUGUGGGUGAUGUUGAAUGAUCCAUUAGUCCCUAAGGAAGACCAGGUGCCUGUCUCUACACCCUGGCAUGGUAUAUGAGGAAGUCCAGGUGCCUGUCUCUAUGCCCUGGCACGAUGGUAAGUAUGAUAUGUAUGGUUAGUAAGGAAGACUAGGUGCCUACCUCUAUGCCCUAGCAUAGGAUGCUGGGACUAUUGGUGACAUGAUUCACCCUUGAUGUGAAUUGUUUGUGCUGUGGCGCAUUUCAUGAGAGCAUAUUUUAUUAAUAUGUUUUUACUUAUUCUACUCACUGAGCUAUAGUAGCUCAUCCAUUUUCCCUUAACCCCAGUCUUGCAGGUUCAGAGUAUAGAGGGAGGUCAGCAGGGUACAGAGAAAGAGUAAAGAGUUAUGUAAUAGCAUAGUGUGGACAUGUAAUAUUGUAAAAGAGAUGUUUUAGUAUUGUGCUUGAUCCAUAUAUUUUGUAAAUCCCUUUUUGUAUACAUGGUUUGUUUAUAUAAAUGUUUUGAUAAUGAAUAUGAAAACCAGGUUUAACCUAUAGAGUGUUGACUCCGCUAGAGCAUUUGAUGAGGGCUCUAGUAGGGGGUCUGUGCACAGAGUACAGGGAUAGUGCAUGCACAGGUUAAGCCUUGGUACAGAGUCAAGUUUUCAAUUUUUACAAAAAAUGUAUGACCAUGUAUGGGUUUUUAACAGGUACACAGAGAGUAUAGUAGGCUUGCUACGGGUCCCGGCGACCUUAAGUCGAUCUGGAUCCUAGCGCCGGUAGCGGUCCAGUUUCCGGGUCGUUACAAGGGGUUUCUAGCUCAUGUGAGAGAGCUUGACAGUUAGGUUAGGGAGCCCGCCUCAGUGCCCGUAGUCAGAGGGUUUUUAGAUGUUUUUCCAGACGAGCUUCCAAGACUACCACCUGCUAGGGAGAUAGAGUUCGAAAUAGAGUUGAUGCCUGGAACCAGACCGAUCUCUAUCCCUCCCUACAGGAUGGCACCAGCUGAGUUGAAAGAGUUGAAGGAGCAGUUGCAAGAGCUAGUAGAUAAGGGUUUCAUCCGACCGAGUACCUCACCUUGGGGUGCUCCAAUGCUUUUUGUGAGAAAGAAGGAUGGAUCCCUCAGACUUUGUAUCGACUACAGGCAGUUGAACAAAGUCACUACCAAGAAUAAGUAUCCAUUACCUAGGAUUGAUGAUCUAUUAGACCAGCUAGCAGGAGCAAGUUGUUUCUCCAAGAUAGAUCUGAGAUCCGGGUACCACCAGCUGAGAAUAAGAGAAGAAGAUGUGCCGAAGACGGCGUUCAGGACCAGAUAUGGGCAUUAUGAGUUUCUAGUAAUGCCGUUCGGGCUAACUAAUGCCCCUGCAGCAUUCAUGGACCUCAUGAAUAGAGUGUUUAGCCAGUAUCUGGAUCACUUUAUUAAUUGUCUUCAUUGAUGAUAUCUUAGUGUAUUCCAGAAAUGCAAAGGAGCAUGCCCAUCAUCUGAGGACAGUUUUGCAGACCUUGAGGGAGCAUGGCUUGUAUGCCAAGUUCUCCAAGUGUGAGUUCUGGUUAAGGAGCAUCUCAUUCUUGGGGCAUGUUGUGUCAGAACAGGGAACUGAAGUGGACCCCAAGAAGGUAGAAGCUAUAGCUAAUUGGCCCAGACCCACUACAGUAAUAGAGAUCAAGAGCUUUUUGGGUUUGGCAGGUUACUACAGGAGGUUCGUUUAGGACUUCUCUAAAAUUGCCGCUCCUAUGACCAGAUUGACCAAGAAGAGCUAGAGGUUUGUGUGGUCUGAGAAAUGUGAAGAAAGUUUUGAAGAGCUGAAGAAAAUGUUAACGUCAACACCGGUGUUAGCUCUACCUACCAAUAAUGAAGACUUCACAAUGUAUUGUGAUGCGUCCCGUGUGGGACUAGGUUGUGUGUUGAUGCAGAAUGAAAGGGUAAUUGCUUAUGCUUCUAGGCAGUUGAAGAAGCACGAAUUGAAUUAUCCUACACAUGACCUAGAAAUGGCAGCUGUGAUCUUUGCACUAAAAAUGUGGAGGCAUUACCUGUAUGGGGUUAAAUGCGAGAUCUUCACAUAUCAUAAAAGCUUGCAGUACAUCUUGAGUCAGAGAGAGUUGAACCUGAAGCAGAGGAGAUGGGUAGAACUGCUUAGUGACUAUGAUUGUAAAAUUCAGUACCAUCCGGGUAAGGCAAAUGUUGUGGCAGACGCCCUAAGCCGGAAAUCACUUGGCAUUUUGUCCCAUAUUAUAGCAGAGAGGAGACCGGUGGUGAGAGAGUUCUAUAAGCUCAUUAAUGAAGGUUUGUAGUUGGAGUUGUCUGGUACAGGUGCUUUGAUAGCUCCGAUGAGAGUGACACCCGUGUUUCUGGAGCAGGUUGCUCAGAAACAGCAUGCGGACCCAGAGUUAAUGAAGAUUGCCAGGACUGUUCAACUAGGCAAGAAUGAUGAGUUCAGAUUUGACAGCAAAGAGAUCCUCCGCUAUGGGAACAUGUUAUGUGUACCAGAUGACGUAAGUCUGAAGGGAGACAUUAUGAGAGAAGCUCAUAAUGCCAGAUACAGUAUUCACUCUAGAGCCACCAAAAUGUACCAGGAUCUGAAAAGAGUUUAUUGGUGGCCAGCUAUAAAAAGAGAAGUGGCACAGUUCGUGUCAGCCUGCGAAGUAUGUUAGAGGGUGAAGCUGGAACAUCAGAAGCCAGCUGGAAUGCUUAACCCACUGCCGAUUCCAGAGUGGAAAUGGGAGAAUAUAGCUAUGGACUUCGUGGUGGGAUUACCGGCGACGUCCAAUAGACUAGACUCUAUAUGGGUGAUUGUGGACAGACUGACCAAAUCUGCUCACUUCAUUCCUGUCAAGAGUGGCUACUCUGUGGACAAGUUGGCGCAGGUGUAUGUGGAAGAAGUUGUCAGGUUGCAUGGGGCUCCCGUUUCUAUAGUGUCAGAUAGGGGACCCUAGUUCACCUCUAGGUUUUGGCGGAGACUGCAGAAUGCUAUGGGCACCAGACUAGACUUUAGCACUGCUUUCCAUCCUCAGACUGAUGGACAGUCAGAGAGGACCAUCCAGACUAUAGAAGAUAUGCUCAGAAUGUGUGUGCUAGAUUUUGGCGGUUCUUGGAGGCAGCAUCUACCUUUAGUGGAGUUUGCCUACAAUAACAGCUAUCUUACUAGCAUCGGGAUGGCUCCUUAUGAAGCUCUUUAUGGGAGGAAGUGCAUGUCACCUGUCUGUUGGGAAGAAGUUGGAAAACGGUCCUUAGCAGGACCUGAGUUAGUAGAGAUCACCAACAGAGUAGUGCCCAUCAUCAGAGAAAGAAUCAGAACUGCUGUGAGUCGGUAGAAGAGUUAUGCAGAUGUUCGCAGGAAGCAUGUAGAGUUUCAGGAGGGAAAUUUGGUGUUGCUCAAGGUGUCUCCUAUGAAAGGGGUUAUUCGGUUUGGGAAGAAAGGUAAGCUAGCUCCAUGGUACAUCGGACCCUUUGAGAUCUUGCAAAAGAUUGGGAAUGUAUCGUACAAGUUGAACUUACCUGCUUCUAUGGAGAGAAUCCAUCCAGUUUUCCAUGUUUUCAUGUUAUGAAAAUUCGUGUCAGAUCCGGGCAAGGUUCUUAGUGAGCCUGAUAUAGAGAUCCUAGGAGAUCUCACCUAUGUUGAGCAGCCAGUAUGGAUCCUAGACACACAGAUCAGAAAGUUGAGGAACAAGGAGAUCCCGAUGGUGAAAGUCCUUUGGAAUCACCACAAUAUCGAGGAAUGUACUUGGGAGACACGGGAGUCUAUGCUCCAGCAAUACCCUUAUCUCUUUUAAGGUGAGAGUUGUUGUUUUAUGUGCUUCUUUGUUGCUUUAUGUAUGUUAUGCUUGUUUGGUGAAUAUUCGGGGACGAAUGUUCUUAAGGGGGGGAGAAUGUAAUACCCGGCUAGACUCCGGCAUCGGAAUUCCUACCGUCCGGUGGAAUCUCAGAUGUCGGAGCUCUCCAGAAGGGUAAUAUAUGUUUUUCUAAAAUGUUUUCAUGUGUUUUAAGGUUUUAAGUAAGAAAGAAAAUGAGUUUUUGAAAGAAAAAUACCAUGGAAGGAAAUCCAGGUUCGGCUGCCGAACAUGGUGGAGUUUAGGGAGCACCUUUGGCCUCCGAAGGUGGUCUGGCCAGCCACCUAUAAAAGGCCCCAUGUCUAGAAAUGGGCGAGUUUUCUUCUCCAUUUUCGGGCAAAGGUGAGUCCAUGCCCUUCCAUGGUUAGUUUUGAUGUUUUUCUUCAAUCCCUUCAAGUUUUAAUUAGUUUUAACUUGGUUUUGAAGAUUUUUGAGCUAAGAUCAAGUUUUGGAGCUUGGAGACCCAAGGAGCUUGAUUUCUCCCAUCUCCAAGUUUGGAUCGCCUCUUCUCUCGAUUUUCAAGAGGUAAGUGGAGAUCCUACCCUUCUUUUAUGUUUUAAAUAAGUUUUGAGGGGGUUUUAAGGGAAUGUGAUGCUUGGUUUGACUAUAUGUUUUAUGUUAGGGUUUAUGUUAGUUUUAUGGGUAAUGUAUGUUAUAUGUUUGUUAGGGUUUAGGCUAGUUUGAGACCCCUAUAUGCUUAUGAAUGUGUGUAUGCAUGUUUUGGAAGUGUUGGAUGUGAGUGUGGGAGAUUUUGGAGGCGGAUUGCAUGAGGCGGAAUCAAGUUCUGCCUUUCUGGGGAACCCAGGUUCGACCGCCGAAGGUGGUUUCGGCUGCCGAACCUGCCUGUGGAAGCAAUCUUUGGCCGCCUAAACUUGCCCCGGAAAAUGGACUUUCGGCUCUGGAAGGGACUUUCGGCUCUGGAAGGGACUUUCGACCGCCAAAGUGCCUGACUUUCGUCUCUGAAGCUGACUUUCGGCCGCCGAACCUGCCCCCGAAAGUGCCUGACUUUCGGAUCUGUGGGGGUAUUCGGCCGCCGAAGGUGCCCUGUCCAGCCUUCCUUUGCUUGUUUUGCAUGCAUGUUCUGUGAUAUUUUAGGGGGUUUUUGGGGAGUUGUUUAGAGUCAUGUUUAUGUAUGUUUGGUCCCUCAUUUCAGUCCACCUGUGUAGGUUCAGACCCGAGGAACCGAGGACCCCAGCAGUGAGAUAGCUGCUUCAGAGUCUGUUCAGAGUCAGCCUGAGGUGAGUAGAAUGGAUCUUUAUGUUGCAAAGUAAAUAAAUUUUGAGCAUGUUCAUGCAUCACGAAUGUCAUGAUAUAUACUAGGUUGUAUGCAUUAGAAUUCACGAAUAUGUUGCAUUGCAUAUUAUGAUGUUGAUGUGGAUGGAUGUUGGAUGAUCCAUUAGUCCUCGAUAUGAUAUGAGAUGGUAUGGUACGGUACGGAAGUCCAGGUCGAGGCCCAUGCUACGCCCCUGGCAUAAUAUUAAGAGAAAGUCCAGUUCGAGACCCAUUUUAUGCCCCUGGCAUAUUGGAAUGUUAUGUUAUGUUAUGUUAAGGGAAAGAUCAGUGGCCCAUUCUACGCCCCGACACUAUUGAAAUGUGUAGAGGGCUAUUGGUGACAAGUCCAUCCUUGAUGUGAUUUGUUUGUGAUGUGAUGCAUUUCAUUAAAGCAUGGAUUUUAAUAAAAUGUUUACUAUUAUGCUCACUGGGCUCUAGUAGCUCACCCAUUUCCCUUAACCCCCAGGUUUGCAGGUUCGGGAUAGACCAGGAAGUCAGCAAGAGUAAAAGUUAUUUGUAUGUAAUAGUUAGUUGUGGACAUGAAAGAUGAUGUAAUGUAAUGUAAUGUAAUGUAAGAUUUUGUACAGUUUUGUAUUGAGGAUUAGCAUUGUGCUUGACCCUAGUGUUUAUGGUUAAUCCCUUUGUUCGUGAUCAUUAUGAAAUGUUUUAAUGUUAACCAAGCUUAAUGUAUGAUAUGUUGCCCCACUAGAGCAUUUGAUGAGGGCUCUAGUGUGGGGUUUUAUGUUUAUGAUUAUGUGCAUGCACAGGUUAAGUUUGGUAAAAUGGAAAAAGUUUAUAGUUUUUAUGUUUAUGUAUGAUCAUGUAUGGGAUUUAUUAGGCAUGACAGGUUGUAUGUUAGGCUUGCGACGGGUCCCGGCGACCUUAAGUCGAUCUGGAUCCAAGCGCCGGUAGCAGUCCGUUUUCGGGUCGUUACAUGGAUGGUCCAUAAGUGCUCAGUUUAUCAAACUUAGAAGGGACAUUCGCAGAAUACAGUCUUAUACACUCCACUGCCUAUUCCAGCACAUCCUUGGGAGGACUUAUCCAUACUAUGGAUUUUGUUCUUGGUUUAUUACGUACUCAACAUGGAUCUAAUUCCAUUUUUGUUGUUGUUGACAGGUUCUCCAAAAUGGCGCAUUCCAUUCCUUGCUAAAAAACUAAUAAUGCUUCUCAUGUGGCAAAACUGUUUUUCCAGGAGAUUGUUUGCUUAUAUGGCGUCCCUAAGACUAUUACUUGUAACAGAGAUGUGAAGUUUCUAACUCAUUUUUUAGUAACUUUAUGGAAACGUUUUGAAACUGAACUUCGAUACAGCAGUGCUACCCAUCCCCAAACUGAUGGACAAACUGAAGUGGUGAACCGCACGCUUGACAAUCUUCUGCGCUGCAUCUGCAGUGACAAGAAAACUGUUUGGGAUCUUGCUCUUAUCCGAGCAGAAUUUGCUUAUAACAGCGCUGUUUAUAGCUCCACAACGAUGUUAUCAUUUGUUGUUGUGUAUAAGAAAAUUCCAGCGCAUACGUAAUAAAUUAUAAGAGGAUAUAUCAAUUUAUUAACUAAUAUAUUUUAAGUAUUUGAUAAAAUAUAUCCAAUCAAUAAGCCGAUAACUAAUAAUUUAUACUAACUGAUAUAUCUUAGAUAUUUUAAUAAAUUAUGUUUAACUGUGACCACGUAAAAUAACUAAUACAAGGAUAUAUCAAUGUAUUAUAUUAAUGAGAUAAAUAUAAAAAUAUUAAUUUAUUAUAUAAUAUAUAUAAUUAAAAAUAAAUUUGAAAUAUAAUUAUUUGUAUGCACAUGUAUAAUUUUUAUUAUAUAAUAAUAAAUAUUAUAAUUAGUUUAACUAUUAUUUUUAUUAUUUCUUUAUGUAUUGUAAUUUUAAAUAAUUUAUUGAUAUAAAAAUUUUUAUUUUAAAAAAUUAUAAUUAAUAAAUUAUAAAAAAAUAUUAUGAUCUAAAUAAAAAAUAAAAUUAAAUAGUUAAUGGCUUAUAGAAACAACUCUAAAAUGCACCUGAUAUUAUCAUAUUAGUAUUAUCAAAACGAGAUGUCUGCCCGGCUAGAUCGGUCUGCGGCAGACGUAAUCCCAAAUGGAUACCUAAUAUUUAGCCUCAGUCUAAUCCGCAGUGGGGCUGCAUAUGGACAUAGAUACGUUUUUUUAUUAAAUUUAAAUAGAAACUAAAAAAAUUAAUGAAAUCUACGAAGUUAUAAAAAUUUUAUAUUAUACCGAUUGUAAUUAACAAAUAAAAAAAAUACUAUAAUCAAUAAAUAAAUAAAAACUCUAUAUUUAUAUUUUUUAUUUCAUUUUUCUUAUUUUAAGCCGAUACUAUAAUUACUUAAUAUGCAUCAUAUAUAUUGAUAUAAAUUAAUUAAAAAAUUAAAAAAUAUAUAAUUUUAAUAAAUUUUAUAAUUUAAAAUUCUCAAAUUAAAAUAAAAACUUAACAUAUAAUUAAAUUAAAAUCUAAAUAAAAUUUAUCAAAAUUAUCUAAAUAAUCAAAUAAACUUAAUAAAAACUAUCAAAGUAAUUUUAAUUGAAUUUUGUUUAAAAAUUAAUACAUUUAUCUAUCUAUCCUUUUCUUGCUAUUCAUAUCUUGAUUUUCAUUUAUAAAAUAUUUUUUAUAUUUUAACUUUUAUUUAUAAGAUAUUUUUAGAGCAGAUAGUUUGUAGAUUCGUCCGAUCUAAUUUGCACGAGCUCAAUUCCAAAAUAAACUGAGUAAAAAAAUUUAUUUUAAAAAUAGUCUCAAAUUACUUGUUCAAAUUAAAAAAAAAAAAUAUUAGCAACCUUGAACUAUUUACAGACUCGAACCCAUUUUGACAGUACUAAUAUCAAUUAUCCUUUAACUUUUUCAAAUUUUACUAAAUAUUUUAUUAAUCUAUUUAAAUAUUUAUUAGCUAUCAUUAUAUUCAACCGUUAAACUAAAUACUUCUAAAUAGAAAAUUAUUAUUCAACAAAAAUAUUUAUACUUAUAAACAAUAUCGUUAUUAUUAUUAAUAGUAAUAAAUUAAAUUAAAUUAAUUUAUUCAAAUUUAUUAAUCAAUAUACAAUUAUUAAUAUGAAUAAAGAAAAUAAGGAAUGUUUUUUUAUGCUAUUUUUAGUUAUUUUUACACACAAAUAUAAUUAAUUAAUUUUAACUUUAAUUCUUCGAUAGCUUGAUUUGAAUUUUGAUCUGAUAUAAAAUAUGAAAAACAAAAAUUAAUAUUGUCUUAAAAUUUUUAAAAUAAUAAAUAAUUUAAAAUAAAAAAAUUAUUAUAAAAUUAUAAGCUGAGCUAAACAGCUACUAAGUGCUCGGAAACCAUGCACUCUUCCCAUUCUCCCACACCUCCAAAAUCUAAAUGCGAAACACAGGAUCUAAAAUACUCAUUUUUAGGAUUUUUUAUGUUAAUUUUAAUUAAUAAUAAAACCUUUUAUGCUAAGUUAAUAUUUAAAUAUAAAUAUGAGAAAAACCAUAGAACUACAAGAGAAAGAUGAAUAUAAAAUUAAAUACAAUAUUUGAGAUAUUUAAUUUCAGAGAAAAUAAUAGAUUUUUUAAAUUUAACAAUUUAUAUAUAUAUAGAGUUGUCUUGAAUUAAUUUUUGAAGCUAAACUAAUUUAAACACUUUAAAUAAUAAAAUAAAUUAUACUUUAACUUUUUAAAUUUUAAUGUAAUUAAUGAAUUAAUUUUUAUAAUUUUAAAAUUAAAUAUUUAAAUUUUUAAUAUCAUUUCAUUUAUAAUUUUAUUAGUCAAUAUUUCUAAAGAAAAUAAAUAUUUUAAAUAUCUAAAAUACUCUCAUAAACACUCAAAUGCAUGUCAAUGUGAGUGAAACAUUUUAUAUUACGUAAACUAUACUUUAAUUUUUAAAUUUUAGCGUAAUUAAUAAAUUAAUUCUUGUAUUUUUAAAAUUAAAUCCUUAAAACUCUAUAUAUUUAAUCUAUAAAAAAUUACAGUUUUAUCAAAUUAAAGUUAGUGGAUAGUUAAACUUAUAAAAGUAUAAUUAAAUAUUUUUUUGUAAAUAUCUAUAUCUAUUUAAAAGUUAUUUAAUAUCACUUUAAAAUUGCUGAAUUUAUAAGUAUUUUCUGAAAAUUUUAAAACUAUCGAUUAUUGAAAUAUUUUAAUUAAUGAAAAUUGAAGAAUAAAAACUAUUGAAACAGUUGAAUAUGAUAAUUUGAAUAAAAAUUAAAAGAGAAUUUGAGUUUUUUUUUUAUGAAAAAUAAAAAAUUAAAAUGUUUAAAUUUUUUUGGAUGGGAAAAUGAAUGAAAUCUUUUAACUCCUUAAUAUUUUAAUUUAAAAAAGGAUAAUAAAAUUAUUUUUAUAUUUUUAAUUAUAAAAAAUAAAUAAAAAGAUUGAAAUUUAAAUGGAUUUAUUAGGAAAAGAUUUAAAUAUUUAAUUUUAAAAAUAUAUAGAGUUGUUCCUUAAUUAUAUUAAAAUUUAAUGACUAAUGUAUAGUUUAUUAAUUUAAAAAAAAAUAAAGAUGUUCAAUUUAAAUGAUUCGAGAAAUUUAAGUGUUUAAUUUUAAAAAUAUAAAAAUUAAUCAAUUAAUUAUAUUAAAAUUUAAUGAUUAAAUGUAAUUUAUCUUAAAUAAUAAUUUAUUUAUGUUGCAUGAAUACAAAUUGACUUUUGUGCACAGGCCUUAUAUAUUAUGAAUAGGGCUUAUCGCAUGGCAACACGUUUUUGGAUACCUCAUUAAAGAAAAUGUGGUAGUUAACCUUCUCCUCUCUAGAUCGUCAACCUUUAAUUUUUAUUUUAUUUUAUUUUAUUAUAUUUUUAUUAUUAAUAAAAAAUACAACUACAUACUAUAAAUGAAAAAAAAAACAUAUAAAGUUAUAAAAUUUUAUUUAUAAUCCACCUUUCAAGAUCUCAAAAUAAAAUUCUCAAAGUACAUAAAUUUAAAAUAAUUAAUUUAUGAUUAAGAUUUGUAUGAAAAUUUUUAAUUGUGUUAUAGCAAAUUAUAAGUCAUCCAUUUCGAUAUGGAUUUUUUAGAUUGGUCAUGUUAAUCUUAAUGAAUUAAUUUGUAAAUCUCUUUCGUUUUUUAUAGACGGUAUCAUUUUCAUGAAUAUUUUACUUUUAUUUUAUUAAAAAAAGUCUCAUAACACAUAAUCUUAAAAUGGAAACUCACAAAAUAGAAGAAAGGGAUCGAAAGGUCUACUGGUACCCCCAAUGAAAAUUCUAAAACACUCAAGUUAGAUCUUAAAAAUUUAAGUGUGAAAGCUUCUUUUAUAAAAAACUGUAAAGGAAAAGGGGAGGAAGAGGAAGAAGAAGAGAAGAGCGGGAGCAAUCAUGAGCUAUAAAAAGGUGUUUUUUUUUUAUAUUUUAUCUUGUGCAAAAGAGUUGUGAGAAUAUGUCUUUCAUAUUCUUUAGAUGGUCUAUUUUUUAAAAUUUAAAUGAUUUUAUAAUUUUUAAAUGUUACCAAAAAGUAACAUAAACCUAUAUCUACAAAUAUUUUUCAAUCCAAUUAGAACUAAUAAAUCUCUCACUGGAAAUUACUUUUAAUAAAUAUAUUAUUUAGUUAAUCUCAUUUUCUUUUAGAAAAUUUGUGUAUUUACUAUAAUUAUAUUACAUAAUGCAAUUACUAUAAUUAUAUUACAUAAUGCAAAUGAUGUUUUUAAUUACACGAUAAACCCUUUUUCUAUUUUAGAUCGAAAUCUCUUUCUUUUCUUCUAUGAAACUAUAUUAUACUGGACAAAAGCCAUUUAACCAUAACACAUAAAAACUCUUUUUCUUAUGUAAAAGUCACCCUCUACAAUAGAUUGUUAAACUCUUCAAUUAAGAAAAGACAAAAUAAUCUCCCAAUCAUAUUUUAUUUAUAGUAUUAAACUCUUCUAUUUUAAUUUAUUUAAGAAUUUUAAAGUAUAAAAAUAACAUAUAAAUAAAACAUCUACUCUAUCUAUGUCUCGGAAGAAUAUGUUUUCCAAUUUAAUUAAAAUAUACAAAUUAAUUUUAAUAUUUUCCGUUUGAAAUUUUAAAUAGGCUUUGUCUCCUCUCAAAAAUUCUCUCUUUCUCUUCUUUUUUUUUUUUCUUCUCAUCCACCUCUCUUCCCGUAGCCACCUCCGAAUUUAUCACAGGGGCAUCCCCUAUUUUUCUUGCUCAAACCAUCUCUUUUUAUUUCAAAAUUUAUUUCGUUGUUUUUUUUUUUUUUUGUUUCUUCAAGUAAAAUUCAAGUUUUAUUAAAACUAGAGAUACCUCUUCUUCUUAACAAGAUUAGCCUCUUCUUCCCCAUCCGAAGAAUGGUUAGAUAGGAGCACAUGCAUAGUAGGGGCCCUAGAGGAAUUACAAGGAUUGUUUUGGACAUUGUCGCCCUCAACUACCCCAUGGCAUCCUCCAUGAUAACAAGGCCCACACACCCUCCUCAGCAACCAUUUUGAGAGGUGGUCCUACAAUCGUCAAAGGUAGCAUGUCUUCUUUCCUUUGAGGAUGAGGCCUUAAAGCAUCAUGAACGACCUCUAUAUUCUUCUGGAGAGUAAACUGCUCAACCGCCAUCUUGAUGAAAUCCCGAGACAAGGUGAAAUUUCGAGGCAUAAAAGUCUAUCCCAUAGGAACAGUGGAAAGCUGCAAAACACAAAAAUAAGUUUUAAUCAAGAAAGUGAGAACUGAAAACAUAAAAAUAAUAAAAAUAAUAAGUACCAGCAGCACAAUAAUCACUCCCAGGAGGAAACUCAAGGUAUUUAAAGACGUCAUAUUUGAAAGGAGAGAGGCUAGUCAGGCAAAGUACAGUUGCUCUCACUCAGACAGGUGGGAAAAAGCAUUGCAAGAAGGAUCAAUGUUCCCCCAAGCAGUAUCGAAACCCUACUUCUGCUCUCCCCUUAGAUGGACAACGACAAAACUUUCUAUCCAGUGAUGGACGGAGUCUUUAUGACCAACAAAAAAAAGACAGAUUGAAGUUCCAUAACCCAUCAUUUGAUUUGGUGAUCCUAAAGAAAGACCUAAAAAGUCUAAUAGAUAGCUUGAAGCCCCAGUCCCAACACACUGCCUCAAAAGCUCUCAUGAACAGGAUAGAGUUGGGAGUUAACACUCUAGAGAAAACCCCAUAAAACCUAAAACCUCUAUGAAAAAAAAUGGAAAAGGGGAAAAGAUAACCCAUACUCAAAUUUUUUGAGAAAGAAAACUAACUUUUUCUCAUUUUAGGCAUCUUCAAGGUCAACGGGUGGGGGAAAAGAAAAAAGCACAAUCCUCUCAGAAGAGCGAGUGGCUUUAAUAUAAUAAAAGGAAGAGAGAAAUAGAUGGAAGAAAUCGUGUGUUGUAUUGUAUUGCAAUUGUCUUUAAAUAGACUCUGUACAAAGAUAAAUACAGUUACAAUAGAUAAGUUUACAAAUAUACAAAUAUGAUAUUUAAACCAAAUCUGUUAGGAUAUUGGUUUAUCAAGAUAAGUUUACAAAUAUACAAAUAUGAGAUUUAAGCCAAAUCUGUUAGGAUAUUGGUUUAUCACUCCCCCGCAAGAUUGAAGUACCAUCAAGGACACCAAUCUUAGAUAUCUGAUGAGUAAAACUGGUUUUGAUCAAUGGCUUUGUCAAAAAUAAGCCAAUUGAUCCUUAGAGGACACAUGAGCAACUCAUAUUUCUCCUUUGUGAACCAAGUCUCGUACAAAAUGAACAUCAAUUUUGAUAUGCUUCAUUUUCAUAUGAAAUACUGGGUUUUGACUAGUGUAAGUAGUAGAAAUGUUGUCACAAUAAAUAGGCAGUAAAUUGUCUUGCAACUGAACUCCAAGUUCAAAUAAUAGAGACUUGACCCACAUUACCUCAGAAGUUGUUGUUGCUACCGCACGAUAUUCAGCCUCUGUAAAUGACCAAGCAACUGAUUUUUGCUUUAUGGAAGACCAAGAAACUGGACUAUUGCCAAGAUACAAGAUAUACCCCGUAGUCGAUGUUCUAUCCAUAGGAUCCCCAGCCCAAUCAGCAUCUGAAAAAGCAUAAAACUUAAAAGAAGAUUGUGGCUUAAUAAGAAUGCUAUAAUAAAGAGUGGACUUGAGAUAACGAAGGAAUCGUUUCAAGGCUUCCCAAUGCGACUUUAUGGGGCUUUGCAUAAAUUGAGAAAGCUUGUUUACUGAGAAACAAAUAUCAGGUCUCGUCCAAAUCAAAUACUGGAGUGCACCUACUGCAUUUCUAUAUUCAAUUGCAUUAACAAUUUCUUCCAUUUCUGUCCUCUUCAAGAGUAUCACAGAAGCUGCAAAGGGUGUGGUAAUCGGCUUAGCUCCUUUCAUGCUAUGAGUAGCAAGUAAUUUCUGCACAUAAUGGUGUUGAGAUAAGAACACUCCCUUUGAAGUUUGUUGCAUAUCAAUACCAAGAAACAAAUUCAAAGUAUGCGGAUUCUUUAAUGAAAAACGGAUAGCAAGCUUGUUAAUGAAUGUUUGCAUGAAGGCCUUGCAACUUCCUGUAAUAAGAAGGUCAUCAAUAUAUACAAGAAAAUAACAUAAUAUAUUAUCGUUAUUAUAGACAAAUAAAGAGUGAUCACUAGUAGAUUGCACAAAACCAAGACCAAGAACACAACUUCUCAAUUCUUGAUACCAAGCUCUCGGUGCUUGCCAAAGUUCAUACAAUGCUUUGACCAACUUACAAACAUAUCCCGAUUUAGUUUUGUCAACAAACCCAGGAGGCUGCUUCAUGAAUACUUGUUCGUGUAAUGGACCAUGCAAAAAGCAUUAUUAACAUCCAUCUAAAAUAUAGGCCAUUUGUAAGUCACUACCAAAGUUAAAACUAUUUGAAGAGUUACUGGUUUUAAAACAUGACUAAAAGUAUCCCCAAAAUCUAUUCUGGGUUUUUGACUGUAUACUUUUGCAAUAAGAUGGGCUUUGUAUCUGUCAAUACUACCAUCAAUAUUUCUUUUAACUCGAAAAAUAUAUUUACAACCAACCAAGUUAUAUUUAGGAUCAGGUGGUACCAAUACCCAUGUUCCAUUUCUUACCAAAGCAUUAAACUCGUCAGACAUGGCAGCAUGCCAUUGGGGAUCAAGAGAGCCUGCGAAACACAUGUUGGUUCAGAAAUUUUUGGAAUUGGAUGCUUAGUUACUAGAUUAAGAUUUUUCGGCUUAAAUAUGUUAUUUUGGGACCUGGUAACCAUCAGAUGGGUUCAAAUAAGGGGCUGGACAAGAGUAGCAAUAUUGACAUUAGUGUCCGAAGUAUCAUCAUUGGACGAAGUAUCAUCAUUGGACGAAGUAUCAUCAUUGGACGAAGUAUCAUCAUUGGACGAAGUAGACUGAACAGUAUGUGGAGGAGAACUUACAGUAUUCAUAGGCAAGAAGACUGACCAGGAAUGUCUAACAGCAAUGAGGACUGACUAGAGGAUGAUGAACUCAAUGAAGAUGGACUGGACAAGCUGAAAGUGAAACCUGAACAAGCUGAAGACGUUGAAACAAGUUCUGCUACAGUAGAAAAAGGUAUGACAACAGCUGCAUCAGAAUUUUUCUGCAAUUGAAACAAGAUAGCAGUACUAGAUUUUGACGACACAGACUGGUCAAAAAUAAAAUCAUACCUACCGGAAUUAUUUAACGCAGACAAAUCAAGUAAACACCCAGGAAAUUGAUCCUCAAUAAAGAUGACAUGUCGAGAAACAAACAUCUUGUUAUUUUUAUAAUCGAAGCAAAGAUAGGCACUUUGAUUCAGGGAAUAACCAAGAAACAAGCACGGAAGUGAUUUAAGAGAGAAUUUAUGUUUUGCAUAAGGGCGAAUGCAUGGAUAACAAAGACAACUAAAGAUUUGUAAACCAGAAUAAUUGGGAACUUUACCAAAUAAUUUAAGAAAUGAAGAAGAAUAAUCUAGAGUAGGUGUUGGUAACCUGUUGAUCAAAUAUACAGCCGUAUAAAAUGCAUAAAUCCAAAAUUCAGAAGGUAAAGAAGCAUUGUGAAGAAGAGUUAACCCGGUUUCAACCACACAACGAUGUCUACGUUUAGCAGCUCUAUUAUGCUGUGGAGUAUGAGGGGGCGUUUGAAGAUGAUUAAUGCUAUGAGCUUGAAAAAGAGAUUUUAAAGCAAUAAAUUCCCCUCCCCCAUAUGUUUAUAUAGACACAAUUUUUGUUUGAAAGAUAUUUUCAACCAAUUUCUGAAAAACUGAAAAAAUAAUAGCAACAUUAGAUUUAGCUCGAAGAUGAUAAAACCAGAUAUAUUAAGUAUAAUGAUCAACAAAAAUUAAAUAAUAUUUAUAACCAUCUCUAGAUUGAACUGGAGCAGAACCCCAUAGAUUAGAAUACAAUAAUUCUAAAGGACGAGAAAUUGAUAAUGAUGAAACACCAAAAGAGAGUCGAUAACUCUUAUUAUAAUGACAAGAAUCACAAAUUUUUUGAUUAACUUUAGAAACUGGUAAAGAAAAAUGAGACACGACAUAAUUGAAAAUUUUUGUAGCUGGAUGACUUAGUCGUUAAUGUCAUGAAGAACUAGAUGCACAAACACUGUAACAAGCAGAAGGAUGAAAGGAAAAUAUGGAUGAUGACAGACGAUAUAAUGACUCCUCAAUUUUGCCCCUUUGAAGAAUCUCCUCCAUGAACAGAUCCUUAACAACAAAAGAAUCAAAGAAAAAUUCAAUCGAAACAUUAUUUAUAAGACAAAAUUGAGAAACGAAAAUAAGAUUCUCAUUAGCUUGUGGAACACAUAAAAUAUUUUUUAAUGAGCAGGAUUUAGAUGGAAAAGACAAAAUUUUUUAUCCAACAUGUGUUAUGUGCAAACCUGAUCCGUCAGUGAGGCGCAACUCAUCUAAGCCAUCAUAUGGUUUGUGCAAUGACAGAUUCUGAAGGUCGUUAGUGACAUGAUGUGAACCACCUGUAUCAAGAACCCAACUGGUCUCACUUGAACUACUAGUAUUAACAAAAUGACCUUGAAGUCUAUGAAAAUUAUUUUUGAAAAAGUCCUUAGCCAGGAAGCAUUGACGAGUACUGUGUCCUAGCUUUUCACAAAUUUGACACUGAAUCUUGUUAGAAGAAUUUCGAGUAGUAGAAGAAUUUAAGAUAUUACCAGUUCUGGUCCCAUAAGCAACCGAACUACCUUGACCAUUAGAUCAAAAAUUCUACUUGGGAUAGGAACUUUUUCGAACACUAUGAGUAGUUAAUGGAACAGGAUCAUAAGAGGAAUCUGUACUCUUAAGAUAUAUUUCAUGAGCCAAAAGUUUAUCCUCAAGUUUUUCAAAACUUAUCACAGUAUCACGAGCUCGGAUUGUUGCGGCUGUGUCAUGAAAUUCUAAUUUGAUACCAUUCAAAACAUAGACAAUCAAAUCCACAUCAGAAUCUGGAUUACCUAAAAGAGCUAAGUCUUUUGCAAUAUUUUUUAUUUGUUGCAAGUAAUCAGAAAUCGAUUUGUUAUCACGUUUAGCAGUUAAUAACUUUUUACGAAGAGAUAAAACUCUUGUUGCUGACUUAUUGGCGAAAGCAACUCGAAGUUUUUCCCAUGCAUCAGCUGAAAUUUUCGCUGAAGAGAGAACAUGCAUAGCUGAAAAACUUGUUGAAGCUAUGAUCGCUACUAGAAUCAGCUGAUCUUGAUAAACCCAAAACUCAUAAUCGGGAUUUGCUAUUUCUUUUGUUGUGUCUUCCUCACCAACUUGAGUAAAAGCAGGUGGAAGUGGCAAAGAUUUAUCUACAUAACCCAUCAAAUUAUGACCACGAAGAACAAGGAGGAAAUUGUGCUCGCCAUGUAGGAUAAUUUUGGGCAUACAGUUUCAAUGGAAAUUGAUUAGAAUUGAAAGAAAUCAAGUUUUUGCCAUUAGAAUGAGGCAGACUUGUAGGACUUGAUGAAGACAUGGUGAACAAUAGAAAAAUAAGAAAUAAAUUAAAGAAACGGAGGUGAUUUAGGAUCGAAAAAAAAGCAAAUAUGCUUUUUACGGCUCUGAUACUAUAAAAGGAAGAGAGAAAUAGAUGGAAGAAAUCAUAUAUUGUAUUGUAUUGCAAUUGUCUUUAAAUAGACUCUGUAUAAAGAUAAAUACAGUUACAAGAGAUAAAUUUACAAAUAUACAAAUAUGAUAUUUAAACCAAAUCUAUUAGGAUAUUAGUUUAUCACUCCCCCGCAAGAUUGAGGUAUCAUCAAGGACAUCAAUUGGAUGGAGAUGUACAACUAGGUAGGUCAAUUUUAGCUAAUUUAACUCUAUCAAUACUAUGACUUCGAUUUAAACCAAAUUAAUUUAGCUUAAUAUGUAGUUAAGAAUUUUAAUUUAAAAUUAAUUUAGCUUAAAAAUGACAAUUUUUAGCUUAAUUUAAAUAAAUAACAUUUCUAAUAAGUGCAAGGAAAAAAUAAGUAUUUAAGCAAAGAUUGUAUAAGGGAAAAAAAAAAGUGAAAGAGGACCACGCUAUUAGGAGUGAGUAUUCGGUUGAUUCGGUUUAAAACCGACCCAAAUCGAAUAAACCGAAAACUGAAAUUUUAGUGUUUAUGAAAAUCGAACUGAUUUUGGUUAGAAAUUGAAUCGAACUGAACCAGUCUGAUUCGGUUCGAUUCAGUUCGGUUCAGUUCGGUUUAAUCGGUUUCGAUUUUUAAUAAUUUUUUUAUUUUUUACACUUUAUUUUUAGUAUUUUAAAAUUUAAUUAAAAUAUUUUAAUCUUAAUAUGAUUUAAUUUCUCUAUAUUAUUAAAAAAGCAUAUUAUUAUCACUAAUCGGUUCGAUUCAGUUUUUUGAUUUUUUUCUAAUUAAAAUCGAACAGAACCAAAAUAACAGAAAUUUCUGAAAUUAAAAACUGAAUCGAAUCGAAAUAUAUAAAAAAUCAAAUUAAAUUUUCAAAUUAAUUCGAUUCGAUCAAUUUUUUCGGUUUGAAUCGAAUACUGCUCACACCUACACGCCAUGACUGCUGUAUAGGGGAAAAAAAAGAGAGAGAAGAUAAAAAGGAAAAAUCUUGGGCACUUCUUGAUCUAUUAAUUUUGACUUGGUGCUUGCAUUGAUGAUCUAUGCUUGAGCACUUAGGUCAGCUGAUACGCAAGGAAACCUCACCUAAUACGUCAUCAACUCCAUAGCCCAGCUAAGAGUCUUCAAUAUUCCAGCUUUAUAUAUUGAUGGGCAAGUACCCCCUCCUACACCCAUCACCAGAAGCUAGCAUUCAAGCUUUUCUGAUUCCAAUUCAUCUACGCAUAAUCUCUUUUCUAUUGAAGUUUCCCUCUCAUUCUCAAGGAAACAUGGUAGCCAAGUUGCCAGAACAAGAGCAUCCCCAACAGGCAUUUGGAUGGGCUGCAAGAGACGACUCUGGUGUCCUCUCUCCCUUCACCUUCUCCAGGAGGUUCCUUUUCUUCUACCUUUCCAUGAAUCUGUCUUGCUUCUCUUUCUACAUCAACAAAUCUUCUUUUACUUGAAUCUCUUCGAUAAUCCAUUUUUCUAAUUAUCAAUAUAUAACAUGUUUGUGCAGGGCAACUGGGGAGAAAGACGUUUGUUUCAAGGUCCUCUACUGUGGAAUGUGUCACUCAGACCUUCAUAUGGUCAAGAAUGAAUGGGGCACUUCCACCUAUCCUCUUGUCCCUGGGUACGUAUUCUCAUCAUCUUAUAGUUAUUACGAACAUUCUUUUUUUUUUUUCCAAUUGUAAAGUUAGACGGUUGGAACUUUGAGUCCAAGUCAAUUAACAUAACGGUUUCUGCUGAAUUUGCAAUGCAGGCAUGAGAUUGUGGGAGUGGUGACAGAGGUUGGAAGCAAAGUGGAAAAAUUCAAGGUGGGAGAUAAGGUUGGUGUGGGCUGCAUUGUGGGGUCAUGCCAUUCCUGUCAUAACUGCGCAAAAAAUCUUGAUAAUUACUGCCCAGAACUGAUACUCACCUAUGGUGCAAAGUACUAUGAUGGAACCACCACUUUCGGCGGCUACUCUGACAUUAUGGUUGCCGAUGAGCACUUCAUCGUUCGUAUUCCAGACACCUUGCCUCUUGAUGCUACUGCUCCUCUUCUUUGUGCUGGGAUCACAGUGUACAGCCCCUUAAAAUAUUAUGGACUGGACAAGCCUGGCAUGCACGUAGGCGUAGUUGGCCUGGGCGGCCUUGGCCAUAUGGCUGUGAAAUUUGCCAAGG
This 43727-nucleotide long non-coding RNA is filed under the name Manihot esculenta (cassava). RNAcentral describes it as "long non-coding RNA (MESC_LNC001090)". The record is from RNAcentral. Lineage: Eukaryota; Viridiplantae; Streptophyta; Magnoliopsida; Malpighiales; Euphorbiaceae.